AGUGAACGCUGGCGGUAGGCCUAACACAUGCAAGUCGAACGGCAGCACAGUAAGAGCUUGCUCUUACGGGUGGCGAGUGGCGGACGGGUGAGGAAUACAUCGGAAUCUACUUUUUCGUGGGGGGUAACGUAGGGAAACUUACGCUAAUACCGCAUACGACCUACGGGUGAAAGCAGGGGAUCUUCGGACCUUGCGCGAUUGAAUGAGCCGAUGUCGGAUUAGCUAGUUGGCGGGGUAAAGGCCCACCAAGGCGACGAUCCGUAGCUGGUCUGAGAGGAUGAUCAGCCACACUGGAACUGAGACACGGUCCAGACUCCUACGGGAGGCAGCAGUGGGGAAUAUUGGACAAUGGGCGCAAGCCUGAUCCAGCCAUACCGCGUGGGUGAAGAAGGCCUUCGGGUUGUAAAGCCCUUUUGUUGGGAAAGAAAGGCAGCAGGUUAAUACCCCGCUGUUCUGACGGUACCCAAAGAAUAAGCACCGGCUAACUUCGUG
This 492-nucleotide ribosomal RNA is filed under the name uncultured bacterium. Its description in RNAcentral is "partial 16S ribosomal RNA". It matches the Rfam family "Bacterial small subunit ribosomal RNA", at positions 29 to 507 of the family's 1533-position model. The record is from RNAcentral.